This is an RNA transcript of Drosophila ficusphila, 1089 nucleotides long. RefSeq lists it as uncharacterized. The transcript is spliced from 2 exons. The record is from RefSeq and is a predicted model, not a curated record. NCBI's taxonomy places the organism in Eukaryota, Metazoa, Arthropoda, Insecta, Diptera, Drosophilidae.
AUACUAAAAGUUUUUUAAAUAAAUAUAUAAAUUUUUAACUCACUGAAUUCCUGACAACAACUUUGAAAAAGUCGCUCUAAAAUUAAAUUGACUGUUAAAUUAAAUCGAGAAAUCAUUCGGUUUGACUUUAUUUCGGUUUCAUUUCCAGCACUUUCCUUGUUAAUUGAACGUGGUCAACACACCAAAGCAAAAUCAGUCUCCGCUUUUCCGUUGGAAAACUUUACCUUCUCCUCCGGGACGCUCCAAUGAACAUGGAAAACGAAGGAAUGGAAUGAAAAGCGGACGGGGCGACGAUGCGGAAAUCAAAAGUGUGUUCGGGCAAAAGCAAACAAGAAGAAGGAAAAGAGCCGGGGAAAAGGUCUCUCAUUGUUGUCAUUCGAUUAUCGAUGGCCGUCGAAGGCAUUUUCAUUUCAGGUGGCUGGCAAGUGAUCAAAAACCUGAUUCAAACUUUAUGUUUAGACCCAGUUGCGUUGCCCAUUCCCUCCCACUUUUAAUUUGGCUUUAGCUUUGCCUUCUGGGCAAUUUCCGUCGUUUUAUGUCGAAAGGAAGCCAGCCAACGAACAGCGCCCACAGCCAAGUAAAAGUUUCUGCUUACGCAUUCAGCUUGUUCACUUCCUUGUUUACAUAAGCGUUUUGACUCCGAGCCCAAUUAGAAGUGGGGAAUAUCUCGGGAAGAACUAAAACCUCAAAUUAGCUUAAAUUUUGCGUGACUUAAUAGGAGGCCAGGCUGAGUUGCUUCAUCGCCCAGCCAUCAUUAACAUCAAGUCUGGAUCCGUGGAUAGGAAAGUGAACCUUUAUACUAUUUUCUUCCAACCGAUCAUCUUGUUUAGGGAGUGGAACGGCGCUCAGGGAUUGAGUGUGGUCAGUGCCUGCCUAACCAUUAUGAUCGCCAUCAUGUUAUAUAACCUAUAACGAGCUGAGGCAAUCAUAAAAGCCAGAUCAUAACUAUGUAAGAAUUUUCCGGGUUCGCUCUGUCUUCUCGUAUUUUGUUAGAUAGGCUGUGUAGGUAUUUGAUAUUCAACAUUGCUUUGAAAGAAAUAAGUCUUAACAUUUUAAAUAAAUUAAAUGUAACACUAUUUAAUACGUUUU